AAUCACGGAGAGCGGGUUCCGUCCCCUCCUCGCCCCGGCCUGUAACUGCUGCGGGGGCCGCUUUCUGGGCCCGCCCCUCCAGGCCAGGAGCCUUUUUCAAAAUGUGGCGGUGGCAGGGAAGGUUGUCUGCUCCAGAGGCUUCCCUAGAGUGAAGAGCUCUACUAUGUAUGCUUUAUGCGGCAGAAGGAGUGCUUUGGAGGAGUUUUUAAAUUUGUUUUUUUUUUAAAUCUUAUCGGUUUUAAUUGUAGCAAUGAUUCAAGAAACGUUAGUAGGUGCCCAUAACUUCGGUGGUGGAGAUCCAAAAGUGAACAAGACAGUGUUCUGGCUGCUAAAUUCUUCUUAACUGGUUAUGCCUGGAGACCUUCACUUGGUUCUGUGCCAGCACUGCCCAUGAACUUCAUAGACUGUGAUCUUUGCUAAGGCCUAAAUGAAUGAAGGUGCAGGACCGGAAGCAGAAGACAGAAAGUGGAGACCAGAUGUUUGAAGCUGGGUAAAGGCAGGGAUGGAGCAGGAACCGAGGAACAAACCUUGGAACUAGAAUGAGGAAAUACUUCCCGG
RNAcentral lists this long non-coding RNA (558 nucleotides) under Homo sapiens (human). Its description in RNAcentral is "HSALNT0280149". Lineage: Eukaryota; Metazoa; Chordata; Mammalia; Primates; Hominidae. The record is from RNAcentral.